GACGAACGCUGGCGGCGUGCUUAACACAUGCAAGUCGAACGGAAAGGCCCUGCUUUUGUGGGGUGCUCGAGUGGCGAACGGGUGAGUAACACGUGAGUAACCUGCCCUUGACUUUGGGAUAACUUCAGGAAACUGGGGCUAAUACCGGAUAGGAGCUCCUGCUGCAUGGUGGGGGUUGGAAAGUUUCGGCGGUUGGGGAUGGACUCGCGGCUUAUCAGCUUGUUGGUGGGGUAGUGGCUUACCAAGGCUUUGACGGGUAGCCGGCCUGAGAGGGUGACCGGCCACAUGGGGAAGGAGAAAGGCCAAAGAGUCGUAGGGGGGAAAGCGGGGGGAAAUAUGGCACAGGGGGCGGAAGCCGGAGGCAGCAACGCCGGGGGGGGGAUGGCGGCCUGGGGGUUGAAAACCGCUUCCGCCUGUGAAGAAGGGGGGGUGACGGUAAUGGAAAAAGAAGAACCGGCUAAAUACGUG
This 468-nucleotide ribosomal RNA is filed under the name uncultured bacterium. RNAcentral's name for it is "partial 16S ribosomal RNA". It matches the Rfam family "Bacterial small subunit ribosomal RNA", at positions 28 to 507 of the family's 1533-position model. The record is from RNAcentral.